Molecule: ribosomal RNA, 497 nt
Filed under: uncultured bacterium
Lineage: Bacteria
Description: partial 16S ribosomal RNA
Rfam family: Bacterial small subunit ribosomal RNA
Source: RNAcentral
GAUGAACGCUGGCGGCGUGCCUAAUACAUGCAAGUCGAGCGAACAGACGAGGAGCUUGCUCCUCUGACGUUAGCGGCGGACGGGUGAGUAACACGUGGAUAACCUACCUAUAAGACUGGGAUAACUUCGGGAAACCGGAGCUAAUACCGGAUAAUAUAUUGAACCGCAUGGUUCAAUAGUGAAAGACGGUUUUGCUGUCACUUAUAGAUGGAUCCGCGCCGCAUUAGCUAGUUGGUAAGGUAACGGCUUGCCAAGGCAACGAUGCGCAGCCGACCUGAGAGGGUGAUCGGCCACACUGGAACUGAGACACGGUCCAGACUCCUACGGGAGGCAGCAGUAGGGAAUCUUCCGCAAUGGGCGAAAGCCUGACGGAGCAACGCCGCGUGAGUGAUGAAGGUCUUCGGAUCGUAAAACUCUGUUAUUAGGGAAGAACAAAUGUGUAAGUAACUAUGCACGUCUUGACGGUACCUAAUCAGAAAGCCACGGCUAACUACGUG